UACGAAGGGGGCUAGCGUUGUUCGGAAUCACUGGGCGUAAAGCGCACGUAGGCGGCGUCUUAAGUCGGGGGUGAAAUCCUGGAGCUCAACUCCAGAACUGCCUUCGAUACUGAGGAGCUUGAGUCAGGGAGAGGUGAGUGGAACUGCGAGUGUAGAGGUGAAAUUCGUAGAUAUUCGCAAGAACACCAGUGGCGAAGGCGGCUCGCUGGCCCAUAACUGACGCUGAGGCACGAAAGCGUGGGGAGCAAACAGG
RNAcentral lists this ribosomal RNA (253 nucleotides) under uncultured bacterium. RNAcentral's name for it is "partial 16S ribosomal RNA". It matches the Rfam family "Bacterial small subunit ribosomal RNA", at positions 524 to 776 of the family's 1533-position model. The record is from RNAcentral.